This is a small nuclear RNA of Rhinolophus ferrumequinum (greater horseshoe bat), 107 nucleotides long. The record is from Ensembl. Lineage: Eukaryota; Metazoa; Chordata; Mammalia; Chiroptera; Rhinolophidae.
GUGCUUGCUUCAGCAGCAUAUAUACUAAAAUUGAAAUGCUACAGAGAAGAUUAGCAUGGCCUUUGUACAAGGAUGGCAUGCAUAGUUUUGAAAAUAAAAAAGUAUUU